GUCUAUGGCCAUGCUGCUCUUAACAUGCCUGAUCCCAUCUGAUCUCAGAAGCUAAGCAGGGUCGGGGCUAGUUAGUACUUGGAUGGGAGACCACCUAGGAAGACCAGAUGCUGUAGGCA
RNAcentral lists this ribosomal RNA (119 nucleotides) under Pteropus alecto (black flying fox). The record is from RNAcentral. Lineage: Eukaryota; Metazoa; Chordata; Mammalia; Chiroptera; Pteropodidae.